RNAcentral lists this long non-coding RNA (2998 nucleotides) under Homo sapiens (human). RNAcentral's name for it is "HSALNT0145440". The record is from RNAcentral. Lineage: Eukaryota; Metazoa; Chordata; Mammalia; Primates; Hominidae.
CUCAACCUCCCAAGUAGCUGAGAUUACAGGUACCCUCCACCAUACCUGGCUAAUUUUUGUAUUUUUAGUAGAGAUGGGAGUUUCACCGUGUUGGCCAGGCUGUUCUCGAACUCCUGACCUCAGGUGACCUGCCUGCCUCGGCCUCCCAAAAUGUUGCGAUUAUAGGUGUGAGCCACCACGCCCAGCUUUUCAGAGAUAGUUUCUGUUGAUUUAUUUUUGUUUUCCUUUGAAUUGGCCAUACUUUCCUGUUUCUUUGUAUGCCUUGUGAACUUCUGUUGAAAACUGGACAUUUGAAUCUAAUAAUGUGGUAACUCUGGAAAUCAGACUCUCCUCCUUCCCCAGGGUUUGCUGGGUUUUGUUUGUUUUUUUUUCUUUUCUACUGUUGUAGGCUGUCUCUUUCCAAGGCUCAGCUGGGGUAUAAACUUACGGUCUUCUUGGGACUCUUCUGAGCCUUUCUUUGGCAUUUAUGGUCACUUUCUAAUUUCCCCAGUAUAUACAGUUGUUUUGAAUGUCCUAGCCUUUCAUGUUUGGCUCCUAAGAAGAGAAAAAGAGAAAAAUCAAGAGGGAAAAAAAGGCACCAGCUCUUUAAAGCCCUGGAAGUCACUUCAGCCAGAGGGGGAGGGGCUUGCAGCAAUGUGGGGAGGGGCCAUGACAAUGGCUGCUGCUGCUUUGUCUGCCCCUCAGGAGCCAUUGCUGCUUAACAAGUGGUUACAGACUUCGUGACUAUGUUAUCAUUCGGCCGUAUCCGUGGGUCAGGAGUCCGGGCACAGGCUAAAUGGGUCCUCUGGCUGAGCACCUCUCCCAGGGCUAACGCCAAGGUGUUUCAGCCAGGGCUGCAUUCUCAUCUCAAGGAUCGACUGGGGAAGGAUGCGCCUGCAAGCUCCCAUGCUUGUUGAUGAAAUUCAGUUCCUUGUGGGCAGUUGGGCUGAGGGGCCCCCAUGUAGCUCAGUUUUGCUACAUGAGCCUCUGCCUAGGACAUCUUGCAACAUGGCGCUGAAUUCAUCAAAGCCUGCAAGGGAGAGAGUCUGCCAUCAAGACAAAGGUAGCAAUCUUAUUUUUAUUAUUAUUUUUUUUUUGAGAUGGAGUCUCUCUCUGUUGCCCAGGCUGGAGUGCAGUGGCCUGAUCUCAGCUCACUGCAAGCUCCGCCUUCUGGGUUCACGACAUUCUCCUGCCUCAGCCUCCUGAGCAGCUGGGACUACAGGUGCCAACCACCACGCCCGGCUAAUUUUUUUGUAUUUUUAGUAGAGACGGGGUUUCACUGCAUUAGCCAGGAUGGUCUCGAUCUCUUGACUUCAUGAUCCGCCCACCUCGGCCUCCCAAAGUGCUGGGAUUACAGGCGUGAGCCACCGCGCCCAGCCAGGUAGCAAUCUUCUGUAACGUAACUACAGGAAUGAUGGACAUCACAUCCCAUUACCUUCACUGUGUUCUCUUGGUUAGAAGCAAGUCACAGGUCCCACCCACACUCAAGGGGAAGGAAUUACACAAGGCAUGAAUACCAGGAGAAAGGAUAGCCAGGGCCAUUAUAGAGCUUCCCCCACAGCACCAUAAAUCAGUCACUGAUUCAAAGCAUAUACUGCAUCCCAUAAGAUACAGUGAUAUAUUCUCAGGAUACAAUCUCCCAACUGGCACUGCAACCAGGUCUUAAGGCCACUAAACAUUCUAUCACGCCAGCUCCUCUUGAGCCAGGACACCUAGCAAGACCAGUGCAUUCCAUGGGAAAGAAGUUAGCUGGAAAAUAAGUUCCUUAGUCCGCAUCAAUGUUGUGUAUGUUACCAUGAUGUGGAAUAAAUAUUUUAUUUCAUUUAUUUAUUUAUUAAGACGGAGUCUUGCUCUGUCCCCAGGCUGGAGUACAAUGACGUGAUCUUAGCUCACUGCAACCUCCGCCUCCCAGGUUCAAGCAAUUCUUGUGCCUCAGCCUCCUAAGUAGCUGGGAUUACAGGCGCCUGCCACCAUGCCAGGCUAAUUUUUGUAUUUUUAGUAGAGAUGGGGUUUCAUCAUGUUGGCCAGGCUGGUCUCAAACUCCUUACCUCAAGUGAUCCUCCCGCCUUGGCCUCCCAAAGUGCUGGGAUUACAGGUGUGAGCCACUGUGCCUGGCCAGAAUAAAUAUUUUAUAAACUCAUGGUGGCACGGGCAACAUCAUUGCAGUCAAGAACAAAUUCAUAUCUAGAAUCCAUUCCUCCAGUGAGGACACGCAGUGCCCCUUCAUGAUGGAAAGGGUUCAGUGUGGUCAGCCUGCUGGCAGGUGGCUGAGCCCCUGGAAGUGGAGCCAUGCUGGGGGCUCAGUGUCCAUCUCUGCUGCUGGAAGGUUCAGCAUUCAGUGGUGGCAGCCUUGGGGGGAGGAAGAUCUAAUCUAUGUUGUAGAGCCCAUGCAAAGCCCCCAUCUCUGCUGCUGCUCAUUGAUAAAGCAUGAAGGUGGCUGGAAAGCAUGACUGCCAUCCACAGUGCAUGGUUUCAACCUCCUGAUGAUCCCUCUUGGUACAUCUCCCCAAAAUGCAUGACUCUGGUGGACAUUUGCAAAGGUGCACAACAUCUUCACAUUCUGUGCUGUCCACCCACAUCCUCUUUCCCAGAUAUGCUUCUUACCAGUCUCCCAAGCCUGCUCUUUUUGGUAUCUAGCCAAAGCAUUAACUACCACCAGGAACUAAGUCAAUAUUUUCUUCCACGGAUCUCUUAGUCCCGACAAAGUGGACAACACAAUUCACAGCUCAAAGUGCUUCUCAUUGCCAGGCACACUCCUGACUUAAGGCUGGAGCUCAGUACACCACGAGGGACUGUCUGAGAACCAGGGCUGCUUUUCUUUCCUUGUCAGGUGACCAUGAGGAGCUUCCCAGGAUGCCAUUGGUGUGGAUCAAUAGGGAGGAGGUGAUGGAGGAGCACCCCGUGUCACAGGCAUCUGAGCCGCCAGGACCUUCGCACACCCAGUUUCUUAUGUUUCAUCUUCAUUCAUGGUACUCGGUGUACCAUGAAUUGCUGACAAAACAGGCUCAGCGCAGUGGCU